AGCGAACGCUGGCGGCAGGCUUAACACAUGCAAGUCGAGCGGGCGUAGCAAUACGUCAGCGGCAGACGGGUGAGUAACGCGUGGGAACGUACCUUUUGGUUCGGAACAACACAGGGAAACUUGUGCUAAUACCGGAUAAGCCCUUACGAGGAAAGAUUUAUCGCCGAAAGAUCGGCCCGCGUCUGAUUAGCUAGUUGGUGAGGUAACGGCUCACCAAGGCGACGAUCAGUAGCUGGUCUGAGAGGAUGAUCAGCCACAUUGGGACUGAGACACGGCCCAAACUCCUACGGGAGGCAGCAGUGGGGAAUAUUGGACAAUGGGCGCAAGCCUGAUCCAGCCAUGCCGCGUGAGCGAUGAAGGCCCUAGGGUUGUAAAGCUCUUUUGUGCGGGAAGAUAAUGACGGUACCGCAAGAAUAAGCCCCGGCUAACUUCGUGCCAGCCGCCGCAGUAA
RNAcentral lists this ribosomal RNA (451 nucleotides) under uncultured bacterium. RNAcentral describes it as "partial 16S ribosomal RNA". It matches the Rfam family "Bacterial small subunit ribosomal RNA", at positions 29 to 523 of the family's 1533-position model. The record is from RNAcentral.